Molecule: ribosomal RNA, 368 nt
Filed under: uncultured organism
Description: partial 23S ribosomal RNA
Rfam family: Bacterial large subunit ribosomal RNA
Source: RNAcentral
CUUGACUGUAUCCUGGAAUUGGGUUCGGGCUUUUCUUGCGCAGCCUAGGUGGGAGGCUUUGAAGAUUCCCUUCCGGGGGAAUCUGAGCCAUCAUUGAGAGACCACUCUGGAAGAGCUAGAAUCCUAAUGGUGAUCUUUGAAUCAAGACGCUUGACAGUUUCAGGUGGGCAGUUUAUCUGGGGCGGAUGCCUCCCAAAGGGUAACGGAGGUGUGCAAAGGUUCCCUCAGUCUGGACGGAAAUCAGACAUUGAGUGUAAAGGCAAAAGGGAGCUUGACUGCAAGACCUACAAGUCGAGCAGGGGCGAAAGCCGGCCUUAGUGAUCCGACGGUUCCGUGUGGAAGGGCCGUCGCUCAACGGAUAAAAGUUA